CAUUUUCCAAUCACUUGAUUUAGCCUGGACAUUGCUUCGCAUCUUCCCUCGUGAGCUACUGCACCGUAUACCAGCAAAGACUCUUGACCAAUACUACAGCCGAGAUUCAUCAAAUUGAGAAAUGAGCUCUUUACAGUGCUUAAAUUGUUUUGGAUGGGCUGCAAUUUGUAGAUUGCCUAUUCUAUCCUAGAUUGCAUCUCAGAGUCAUGCAGAAUAAUAAGAGUUGUAUUCCAUUUGGGAUAAAUUUGCUGAGCUAGUCAAAUUGACCCAACUCUAUAUUCUUCCAGUGAAGAGUGCUUUGAUCUUGUAAUUUAUUUAUUAGUUGUUACAUAGUUUUGCUUGUGUACACUAAUUAAUAAUGAACUCGUAACACUAAUUCCUCCAAAAAUUUAUACAUUCCCGAAGGUUAUCAGCACUUCCAAAUAAUGUACAGAACUUUCAAAGGUCUCUAUCUAAUCAAAGACGUGAUAGAUUAAGUUAUUAAAUAAUCAUUUCGUAAGUUCACAUGGUAUUAGCAAAAUAACGUUGAACUCAGCCUGCUUUGGAUGUUCUUACAACCGGUGGCAAGACAACCGAAUCAAGGUCUCCAGGAUAUGGAGUCCAUAGUCCUAAUCCACCUCUGCUCUCUUUCAUACUGCUACCAGUCCCCUUAAACUCGCUUAAACUUUUUACCCAUUCUAUCUUUGAUGAAUGCUCUCUCGUGUGUGGAUGCAGCACAAACAGCGAGUUGUACUCACAAUUUGGAAACAUAAAGAACUUGAACGCACCUCCUAAUCUGUACACAACAUAGCCAAAACUCAACUGAUCUCUCGGAGUGAAGAGGUUGACCUCAUUGAACCACAAGCAGCUAAACAAGUUAUUUAGUGCUGUAUGUUCCCUUAUAAUAAUAGCUCCCUCUGGCACAUCACUAAUGGUGAUUUUCUUCAAACUCCAUGGCUCCAUUCCCUCAUAUCGGUAUAUUUUCAUGUGAAGAUCAAUAAGGGGUCGUGCAUAUCGCUUCCUCCGCUUGUUUGCAUCAGCCUCCUCAUAUAUACUGUGAUGGUGUUUGUGUUGAGCAAUGGCAAAGGUAUUCUUUCCACGCCAUAAGUAUCUUUCAAGAAUUAACAACGGAUCAACUAUCAGCUCCAUUUUACCAUCAAUCCAAAUGCUGUACUGUGCUUGAGGAAAUAACCUGUGGGUUAAAAUCUUGGGAACUUUACCAUUCCUUCUAGGCUCGUUAUAAGGUGGAUGCUUCAGUAGAAUAAGACGCCAUAUGCCGACCCAUAGUCCCCCACUACUGUCCUCCACUACAGUGGCAUUUUCCUUUAUGAAAUCAAGAGAAGCCUCAUCCACCACCAUAAGAAAGCAGAACAGUUUCUUAGAACGGUCACUCAUAUUUGAAGGCUGAUGAGGUACGUCAUAUCCAUCAAAAAUUCCAGAUGCAACCGCAAACCUACACUUAUUAACAUAUUUGAUGUCCAUGGGAUCCAUUUCAGUGCCACCACCACGCAUAAAACCACAAUGAACCUUCAUAGAAGAAUUUAGCUUGAAACUUUCCUCUCUUUGUGACCAGCUUUGAUGUCCUCCAAAUAAUGGGGAUGGCUGAGAUCCAUUAUUCACUAGUUCAUCCUCCAUAAAAUAUGAUAAAUUUUUAACAAUUUUAUCAGGAGUUCCUCCUUCUGGAAUAACUAUUUCGUUAGGAUUAUUGGCUACAGGGAUUGGACAACGAUGUUGUGCAACAAAUCCCCAUGUGUUUAAAACAUUAUACACCUUGCUUUCUUUAUUACAGAUAGCUGCAUGUCAAAUAGAAAUCAUAAUGCUAACCACUACCCUCAAAUAUCUACUUUUAAAUAAGCAAUUUGAAUUUUAUGGGACAUUUUCACUAAAGCAUAUAUAGCAUGAUUUCAUCAUAUUGAUGGUAACAAUUAACAAAUUAAUGAAGAGUUACAGCAUAAUUGCUUAGAAAAUUAAAUAUGAAAAAACAAGAAGCAACAUGACCAAUGUGUGUGUGAGAUUUUGUGUGCAUGCUAACAAUGCCCUAUUUGGCUGCCAAUAUCAUGCAGUAAAAAUAAAGUGAAAUAGAUUACAAUUUCAAAUCAUAGAUUUGCUAACUCUUCUUGAUUCAAGUAGAAAAAAAUCUCAAGUAAGCUAAGCAAGGAAUGGGCUUUACAACUUUGAGAAAAACAGAAAACAUAACAGGGGGAAAUUCAUGCUUAAAACUGAGUAAAUACAUACAUGGAAGAAAAAAAAUUGCAAGAUUCACAUGUUUAAAAAAUACCUGAAAACAAUGCAUAAGAAGAUUGGCAAGACCAAACAUGAAAUAAUAGUACAACUAGAAUCAACAACAUCCACAGAAUACCCGCUACAAGAACCAAACGAAUAAAACCACGCUUCCACAUUAUUUUCAUUGGAUAAUCAUUGGAAAACUUCGCUGAUGAAAAGAGACCACCUUCACCAUCUUUAGAAUGUGAUGUUGGAUUACUUUUGUCUCCUCUUCGGCUUAUCCGCAGGGAUAUGGACCGUUGGAUAUCUUUUUCCAUAGUUAACUUGCUCUGUUGACCUCCUUUUACUAAUCACUUUAAAACACACCCAUCACACAA
This 2579-nucleotide unclassified non-coding RNA is filed under the name Hevea brasiliensis (rubber tree). The record is from RNAcentral. Lineage: Eukaryota; Viridiplantae; Streptophyta; Magnoliopsida; Malpighiales; Euphorbiaceae.